GGUGAACUGCUCCAAAGAGCCCUGCUCAACAGACAAAGGCAGUAAUCGGAGAAGUUCACAUGAUAACCCUUAUUCUCCUCCAGAAUGCUCUGGUGGGUUACGAUUUAUUGAGGGAAAACACCCCUCGUGAGCUUCCUCUUGGUUUUAAACACAAGUUUCUCAAAACAGUGUAGGCAUAUUAACUGUUUGUCAAUAAAUACUUCUUAGGUAUUUUGAUCCCUUCUAACGCAUAUAGCAUUUGUCUGCCUUUGGAGCUCGGAUCUGUUGUUUGUCUGGCACAAGUCAGCUUCUGGGUAAGGCAUGCACAUUUUAUGACACCUUAUAUAGACCAGUGAAAUAAAUACACGAGAUGCAAAGCUCAAAGUAACAUAUUCCAGAUCUGACAUCUUACCAUGGCUUUGAGCUUCAGGCACUGACAAAUAUUCCACACGUACUAACUCUCCCAGAGGAGGAAAUAUAAUGAUGUUUAUGUUAUGCAAUAUGUAAAAUAUUUAUACCUUGACUUCAACGCAAACUGACUAUCACUUAAAUCAGGAGGUGCUGCUCACAAUAAAGGCAAGUGACAUUAUCUGCACCACUCUUUAUAGGCAAAGGAGAACUCAGUACAGCAAAUGAUCCUUUAUGUACAGAAUAAGAUUCCACCAACGUCAGUGUUUUAAAGAAUAACAGUUAUGGGAAAGGUUUUCAAUGUGCUUGCUUCUUCUAGAAUUGUUAAAUUACCAAGAAGGGCAAAAUGUAUGCCUUCCUGACUAUUGCCCUUAUCUUUAGAAUGGGAAAAUCUUUUCUUCUGACAAACCAUUUUUUCAUGAAUAACCUCUUCAAUAGCAUUUAGUUAUCAUUAUUAAUAAAUUGUUACAGUAAUAAAUUAUAUUUUCAACAUUUUAUUAAAUGCAGUUCUCAUGUACUUAAAAUAAAUUGCAAAGCCGGCUUUUUUCAUGGUAUUUAAUAUAUAUAGUAUGACACAAUGUGCUUUUAAUAUAUUUAAUGUUAUAUACUUUAAAAUCUAAGUGUGUUGUACUUUUAUGGAACUUACUUUAUAUUCCUUUCUAUAUGGAAAAUGUAUUACUUUUUAAUAUGGGUUCAUUGUGCAGUGCCAUUAGGAAAUAGAGCACGGUUCUUAAAAGUGGUAACUUUCAGAAUUUAAGUACAUUAAGUGUUGGGGAGGGGGAGAAACUGCAUUAUGGUAACAUCAAGCAUCUAAUUGAAACUGACAAAAGCAAGGGGAGAAAUCUCACACUGACAUUGUAAUGGCAUUCACAUUUGCAUUGACAUCAUAACAGUUCUAAUGCAAGCACACGAGGCACUUCCACGGGCAAAAAAAGACUUCCCCUGACAUUCCACCACUUUCACACUUUCUUUGGACAUGCUAUCACUGUCAUUCAAGAUAAAGAUAAAAAUAUUAUGAAAAACAUCUUUAGUUCAUGCUUAUUAGAUACUCUCCACAGCUGAAAUAUGGUGGUCGUUUUUAAGAGUUUCUUAUUUUUAAGCCUCAAAAAUACAUUGGUCGACUCUCCAGGAAGAAUGCAUCACCAAAUUCUCAAUCACUUAAAAUUGUUUUGUGAAAAAGAAAUUGAAAAUUGAUUUUGCAGAAUUUUUUUUUCCUUUGGCAUAACUCCUUAGGGCCAAAAAAAAAAAAAA
Macaca fascicularis (crab-eating macaque) is the source of this 1638-nucleotide long non-coding RNA. The record is from Ensembl. NCBI's taxonomy places the organism in Eukaryota, Metazoa, Chordata, Mammalia, Primates, Cercopithecidae.